Molecule: ribosomal RNA, 592 nt
Filed under: Staphylococcus epidermidis
Lineage: Bacteria; Bacillati; Bacillota; Bacilli; Caryophanales; Staphylococcaceae
Description: bacterial LSU rRNA
Rfam family: Bacterial large subunit ribosomal RNA
Source: RNAcentral
CCUCAAGUGAUGAUUAUUGGAGGUAGAGCACUGUUUGGACGAGGGGCCCCUCUCGGGUUACCGAAUUCAGACAAACUCCGAAUGCCAAUUAAUUUAACUUGGGAGUCAGAACAUGGGUGAUAAGGUCCGUGUUCGAAAGGGAAACAGCCCAGACCACCAGCUAAGGUCCCAAAAUAUAUGUUAAGUGGAAAAGGAUGUGGCGUUGCCCAGACAACUAGGAUGUUGGCUUAGAAGCAGCCAUCAUUUAAAGAGUGCGUAAUAGCUCACUAGUCGAGUGACACUGCGCCGAAAAUGUACCGGGGCUAAACAUAUUACCGAAGCUGUGGAUUGUCCUUUGGACAAUGGUAGGAGAGCGUUCUAAGGGCGUCGAAGCAUGAUCGCAAGGACAUGUGGAGCGCUUAGAAGUGAGAAUGCCGGUGUGAGUAGCGAAAGACGGGUGAGAAUCCCGUCCACCGAUUGACUAAGGUUUCCAGAGGAAGGCUCGUCCGCUCUGGGUUAGUCGGGUCCUAAGCUGAGGCCGACAGGCGUAGGCGAUGGAUAACAGGUUGAUAUUCCUGUACCACCUAGUAUCGUUUUAAUCGAUGGGGGGACG